Molecule: non-coding RNA, 75 nt
Filed under: Spodoptera frugiperda (fall armyworm)
Lineage: Eukaryota; Metazoa; Arthropoda; Insecta; Lepidoptera; Noctuidae
Source: RNAcentral
UAGGGUUAGAAACUUGGCUCUGCACGGGAUCUGAUUACUUUUUGACAGUGCGAGCUAUAUGGUCUCGUCUUGGCA